Molecule: ribosomal RNA, 520 nt
Filed under: uncultured bacterium
Lineage: Bacteria
Description: bacterial SSU rRNA
Rfam family: Bacterial small subunit ribosomal RNA
Source: RNAcentral
CUACGUGCCAGCAGCCGCGGUCAUACGUAGGGUGCAAGCAUUAUCCGGAGUGACUGGGCGUAAAGAGUUGCGUAGGCGGUUUAAUAAGUGAAUAGUGAAACCUGGUGGCUCAACCAUACAGACUAUUAUUCAAACUGUUAAACUCGAGAAUGGUAGAGGUAACUGGAAUUUCUAGUGUAGGAGUGAAAUCCGUAGAUAUUAGAAGGAACACCGAUGGCGUAGGCAGGUUACUGGGCCAUUUCUGACGCUAAGGCACGAAAGCGUGGGGAGCGAACCGGAUUAGAUACCCGGGUAGUCCACGCCGUAAACGAUGGAUACUAGCUGUUGGAGGUAUCGACCCCUUCAGUAGCGAAGCUAACGCGUUAAGUAUCCCGCCUGUGGAGUACGGCCGCAAGGCUAAAACAUAAAGGAAUUGACGGGGACCCGCACAAGCGGUGGAUUAUGUUCUUUAAUUCGAAGCAACGCGAAGAACCUUACCAGGUCUUGACAUCCCUCUGACCGCUCUAGAGAUAGAGCUUUC